This 394-nucleotide ribosomal RNA is filed under the name uncultured bacterium. RNAcentral describes it as "bacterial SSU rRNA". It matches the Rfam family "Bacterial small subunit ribosomal RNA", at positions 29 to 424 of the family's 1533-position model. The record is from RNAcentral.
AUUAAACGCUGGCGGCAUGCCUUACACAUGCAAGUCGAACGGCAGCACGGGGGCAACCCUGGUGGCGAGUGGCGAACGGGUGAGUAAAGCAUCGGAACGUGCCCUGGAGUGGGGGAUAACGUAGCGAAAGUUACGCUAAUACCGCAUAUUCUGUGAGCAGGAAAGCAGGGGAUCGCAAGACCUUGCGCUCUGGGAGCGGCCGAUGUCGGAUUAGCUAGUUGGUGGGGUAAAGGCCUACCAAGGCGACGAUCCGUAGCGGGUCUGAGAGGAUGAUCCGCCACACUGGGACUGAGACACGGCCCAGACUCCUACGGGAGGCAGCAGUGGGGAAUUUUGGACAAUGGGCGAAAGCCUGAUCCAGCCAUGCCGCGUGAGUGAAGAAGGCCUUCGGGUU